UUAAAUUGAAGAGUUUGAUCAUGGCUCAGAUUGAACGCUGGCGGCAGGCCUAACACAUGCAAGUCGAACGGUAACAGGAAGCAGCUUGCUGCUUUGCUGACGAGUGGCGGACGGGUGAGUAAUGUCUGGGAAACUGCCUGAUGGAGGGGGAUAACUACUGGAAACGGUAGCUAAUACCGCAUAACGUCGCAAGACCAAAGAGGGGGACCUUCGGGCCUCUUGCCAUCGGAUGUGCCCAGAUGGGAUUAGCUAGUAGGUGGGGUAAAGGCUUACCUAGGCGACGAUCCCUAGCUGGUCUGAGAGGAUGACCAGCCACACUGGAACUGAGACACGGUCCAGACUCCUACGGGAGGCAGCAGUGGGGAAUAUUGCACAAUGGGCGCAAGCCUGAUGCAGCCAUGCCGCGUGUAUGAAGAAGGCCUUCGGGUUGUAAAGUACUUUCAGCGGGGAGGAAGGGAGUAAAGUUAAUACCUUUGCUCAUUGACGUUACCCGCAGAAGAAGCACCGGCUAACUCCGUGCCAGCAGCCGCGGUAAUACGGAGGGUGCAAGCGUUAAUCGGAAUUACUGGGCGUAAAGCGCACGCAGGCGGUUUGUUAAGUCAGAUGUGAAAUCCCCGGGCUCAACCUGGGAACUGCAUCUGAUACUGGCAAGCUUGAGUCUCGUAGAGGGGGGUAGAAUUCCAGGUGUAGCGGUGAAAUGCGUAGAGAUCUGGAGGAAUACCGGUGGCGAAGGCGGCCCCCUGGACGAAGACUGACGCUCAGGUGCGAAAGCGUGGGGAGCAAACAGGAUUAGAUACCCUGGUAGUCCACGCCGUAAACGAUGUCGACUUGGAGGUUGUGCCCUUGAGGCGUGGCUUCCGGAGCUAACGCGUUAAGUCGACCGCCUGGGGAGUACGGCCGCAAGGUUAAAACUCAAAUGAAUUGACGGGGGCCCGCACAAGCGGUGGAGCAUGUGGUUUAAUUCGAUGCAACGCGAAGAACCUUACCUGGUCUUGACAUCCACGGAAGUUUUCAGAGAUGAGAAUGUGCCUUCGGGAACCGUGAGACAGGUGCUGCAUGGCUGUCGUCAGCUCGUGUUGUGAAAUGUUGGGUUAAGUCCCGCAACGAGCGCAACCCUUAUCCUUUGUUGCCAGCGGUCCGGCCGGGAACUCAAAGGAGACUGCCAGUGAUAAACUGGAGGAAGGUGGGGAUGACGUCAAGUCAUCAUGGCCCUUACGACCAGGGCUACACACGUGCUACAAUGGCGCAUACAAAGAGAAGCGACCUCGCGAGAGCAAGCGGACCUCAUAAAGUGCGUCGUAGUCCGGAUUGGAGUCUGCAACUCGACUCCAUGAAGUCGGAAUCGCUAGUAAUCGUGGAUCAGAAUGCCACGGUGAAUACGUUCCCGGGCCUUGUACACACCGCCCGUCACACCAUGGGAGUGGGUUGCAAAAGAAGUAGGUAGCUUAACCUUCGGGAGGGCGCUUACCACUUUGUGAUUCAUGACUGGGGUGAAGUCGUAACAAGGUAACCGUAGGGGAACCUGCGGUUGGAUCACCUCCUUACCUUAAAGAAGC
Molecule: ribosomal RNA, 1556 nt
Filed under: Escherichia coli
Lineage: Bacteria; Pseudomonadati; Pseudomonadota; Gammaproteobacteria; Enterobacterales; Enterobacteriaceae
Description: bacterial SSU rRNA
Rfam family: Bacterial small subunit ribosomal RNA
Source: RNAcentral